UCUGGAAAAAAUAUAUUUUCUAAGUCACUGAGUCACCUGUCUUUCAAUGAUUUAAUGUUUUUGAUACAGACUUAAAUGUUUCAGUUGUAAAUAUUAAUAUAAACUUCACAUUUAGUCGAAUGUGGGGCCUCAGCUGAUUCUUCUGUUAUUCCCAUAGUAACAGGGAGACACAGUGACAGGACGUCUGUCACUUCACGUACUGGAGUAACUGGUGCGUGUGGUACUUUGCAAAUUCCAGUGCAUUCAACAACUUUAUUUCUGACGACUCUCCUCUGCAAUGGUCGUGUGUGUGUGUGUGCGUCGGAAAGAAGAGAGAAACGAGAUGUCAAAUGGAGGAGGAGGGAAAUGAGAGUGAGAAGUUCUCUGAUGAAGUGAGGAAGACUGGAAACAAAGUGGAGCAUCCUUCUAAUUCUGACAAGAAGAAGAAAUAAAUCAAAUAGAAGAUAUAGGAGCAGAGGCCCACACGGACAUGAGGACAAGAAGACCUGACCUCAGUGAGAUGGACGAAUCAAAAAUCAAGCCCCAAAUCUUCCUCCAGCGAAUCAGAGCAGAGGAAUGAAUCCAAACAGAGAGGAGGCAGGAAAGAGAAUAAUGAGACUCAAAAACAACACGCUCUCAUCAGUUGGAUCUGGUUGCAUGCAGCAUUUAUUUGUUCAUGUCUCAUAAGUGGAAACUUAGUCUGUGUCUGGCCUCCACCGCGACCAACGAGGCUCUCAGCGCUGUGGCUCUGGAGAGUGGUCUCCAGGACCUCGUCACAAAAAUCGAACUUCAGAACGACACCGGCACAACGGUUCAAAUGCUGAAUACACUGGUCCCAAACUGUUCAAGGAGACCAGCACCAAGUCAAACAAGAAGAUCAUCCACAACGCCAUCUCUCACUGCUGGUACUGCUGGUUCCAAUUCCAACUGCUGGUUCCAGUUCCAACUGCUGGUUCCAAUUCCACAUACUGGUUCCAGAGGCGAGCCCUAGAGGAACCAGAUCCUAGAGGAGCUUGAGAAGUGCGAGUCCAACCACCUGAUGAUCCUGUUUCCUGACGCCGGCUGUCAGUUCCGAGCGCUCUACAAGUACCACCCAGA
Molecule: long non-coding RNA, 1077 nt
Organism: Pleuronectes platessa (European plaice)
Lineage: Eukaryota; Metazoa; Chordata; Actinopteri; Pleuronectiformes; Pleuronectidae
Exons: 4
Source: RefSeq, a predicted model, not a curated record